This 371-nucleotide ribosomal RNA is filed under the name uncultured organism. RNAcentral's name for it is "bacterial SSU rRNA". It matches the Rfam family "Bacterial small subunit ribosomal RNA", at positions 526 to 896 of the family's 1533-position model. The record is from RNAcentral.
CAGAGGUCCCAAGCGUUGUUCGGAUUUACUGGGCGUAAAGGGAGCGUAGGUGGCAUUCUAAGUCUGAUGUGAAAGCUCUGAGCUUAACUCAGAAAUGGCAUUAGAUACUAGUUUGCUUGAGGAUUGGAGGGGAGAUUGGAAUACUUGGUGUAGCAGUGAAAUGCGUAGAUAUCAAGUGGAACACCAGUGGCGAAGGCGAAUCUCUGGACAAUUCCUGACACUGAUGCUCGAAAGCUAGGGGAGCAAACGGGAUUAGAUACCCGGUAGUCCUAGCUGUAAACGGUGCACGCUUGCUGUAGGUGGAAUCGACCCCGCCUGUAGCGAAGCUAACGCGUUAAGCGUGCCGCCUGGGAAGUACGGUCGCAAGAUUA